ACAUUUUCAGUGCAUUAAAGGUUACAGGUCGGAUUUCUUAGAAGAACCCGGUCGGUUCCCGAUCGGGCAUCACCCGACCGGCGUCGUCG
Ipomoea nil (Japanese morning glory) is the source of this 89-nucleotide long non-coding RNA. RefSeq lists it as uncharacterized. The record is from RefSeq and is a predicted model, not a curated record. NCBI's taxonomy places the organism in Eukaryota, Viridiplantae, Streptophyta, Magnoliopsida, Solanales, Convolvulaceae. The transcript has 3 exons.